AGUGAACGCUGGCGGUAGGCCUAACACAUGCAAGUCGAACGGCAGCACAGUAAGAGCUUGCUCUUACGGGUGGCGAGUGGCGGACGGGUGAGGAAUACAUCGGAAUCUACUUUUUCGUGGGGGAUAACGUAGGGAAACUUACGCUAAUACCGCAUACGACCUACGGGUGAAAGCAGUGGAUCUUCGGACCUUGCUCGAUUGAAUGAGCCGAUGUCGGAUUAUCUAGUUGGCGGGGUAAAGGCCCACCAAGGCGACGAUCCGUAGCUGGUAUGAGAGGAUGAUCAGCCACACUGGAACUGAGACACGGUAAAGACUCCUACGGGAGGCAGCAGUGGGGAAUAUUGGACAAUGGGCGAAAGCCUGAUCCAGCAAUACCGAGUGGGUGAAGAAGGCCUUAGGGUUGUAAAGCCCUUUUGUUGGGAAAGAAAAGCAGCAGGUUAAUACCCCGCUGUUCUGACGGUACCCAAAGAAUAAGCACCGGCUAACUUCGUG
This 492-nucleotide ribosomal RNA is filed under the name uncultured bacterium. Its description in RNAcentral is "partial 16S ribosomal RNA". It matches the Rfam family "Bacterial small subunit ribosomal RNA", at positions 29 to 507 of the family's 1533-position model. The record is from RNAcentral.